RNAcentral lists this ribosomal RNA (551 nucleotides) under uncultured archaeon. Its description in RNAcentral is "bacterial SSU rRNA". It matches the Rfam family "Archaeal small subunit ribosomal RNA", at positions 97 to 653 of the family's 1478-position model. The record is from RNAcentral.
CACGUGGACAAUCUAACCUAAGGUGGGGGAUAACCCCGGGAAACUGGGGAUAAUACCCCAUAGACUAUGGGUGCUGGAAUGCUCUGUAGUUGAAAGGUCCGCCGCCAUAGGAUGAGUCUGCGGCCGAUUAGGUUGUUGUUGGGGUAACGGCCCAACAAGCCUGUAAUCGGUACGGGUUGUGGGAGCAAGAGCCCGGAGAUGGAUUCUGAGACACGAAUCCAGGCCCUACGGGGCGCAGCAGGCGCGAAAACUUUACAAUGCGGGAAACCGUGAUAAGGGAACUCCGAGUGCCCGUAAAAUCGGGCUGUCCACCAGUGCAAAUAACUGGUGAAGAAAGGGCCGGGCAAGACCGGUGCCAGCCGCCGCGGUAAUACCGGCGGCUCGAGUGGUGGCCACUAUUACUGGGCUUAAAGCGUUCGUAGCUGGUCUGUUAAGUCUCUGGGGAAAUCUACUGGCUUAACCAAUAGGCAUCUCAGGGAUACUGGCAGACUAGGGACCGGGAGAGGUGAGGGGUACUCCAGGGGUAGGAGUGAAAUCCUGUAAUCCUUGGG